This 474-nucleotide ribosomal RNA is filed under the name uncultured delta proteobacterium. RNAcentral describes it as "bacterial SSU rRNA". It matches the Rfam family "Bacterial small subunit ribosomal RNA", at positions 29 to 505 of the family's 1533-position model. Lineage: Bacteria; Deltaproteobacteria. The record is from RNAcentral.
AACGAACGCUGACGGCGUGCCUAAUACAUGCAAGUCGAACGAGAAAGUACUUCGGUACGAGUAAAGUGGCGCACGGGUGAGUAACGCGUAGGUUAUCUACCUUCAAGUCGGGGACAACUGCGGGAAACUGUAGCUAAUACCGGAUGUGGAAGUAAUUCUAAAGGCCCUUCACGGGGUUGCUUGGAGAUGAGCCUGCGAGACAUUAGCUUGAUGGUGGGGUAAGAGCCUACCAUGGCGACGAUGUCUAGCUGGUCUGAGAGGACGAUCAGUCACACUGGAACUGAGACACGGUCCAGACUCCUACGGGAGGCAGCAGUAGGGAAUAUUGCGCAAUGGGGGAAACCCUGACGCAGCAACGCCGUGUGAGGGAGGAAGGCUCUAGGGUUGUAAACCUCUGUCAAUAGGGAAGAACUGCCAACAUAGGAAAUGAUGUUGGUUUGACGGUACCUAUAAAGGAAGCACCGGCUAACUUCG